UGCUCCUGAGAUGAGCUCCCCAAAGGAGAAAUGAGAAUUGUUUCUGUGAGCUGGAUCAUUCCUUCCAAUACUUCAGUGGUAGCAUCUCGUACCAUCUUCCGAAGUGUAGUACCUUGGCCCUUGGGGAGCCAGUAGUACACUGUGGCAACUGCAAGAAUGGCAUUCUGGACAUCUUCACUCAGCUUCCGACAAUUCUCUGCAGAAGGCAGUGGAGGCCUUGAGAAGGCCAAACUAAGCUUCGUAGCUUCCUGUGAUGUUUCCUUGAAUGCCUGACCUAGCGCGUCCCAGAAGCGCGGAGGCUCGAACGGCUCGCGGCCUUCGCCCGGUUCGCCCUCUCUGACCCGUGCCAGCACCGCGCGCAGAGAGCCGCACAGCUCCUGCAGCAGCUCCCGCGCCUCCAUGCCUGCGGGAGCACCCCGCGCGCUCCGGCACGGCUGGACGUCUGCUACGGCACAGCACACCAACUUCCGG
This 471-nucleotide long non-coding RNA is filed under the name Gallus gallus (chicken). Lineage: Eukaryota; Metazoa; Chordata; Aves; Galliformes; Phasianidae. The record is from RNAcentral.